RNAcentral lists this ribosomal RNA (446 nucleotides) under uncultured bacterium. RNAcentral's name for it is "partial 16S ribosomal RNA". It matches the Rfam family "Bacterial small subunit ribosomal RNA", at positions 338 to 795 of the family's 1533-position model. The record is from RNAcentral.
CCUACGGGUGGCAGCAGUCGAGAAUCAUUCACAAUGGGGGAAACCCUGAUGGUGUGACGCCGCGUGGGGGAAUGAAGUUCUUCGUAUUGUAAACCCCUUUCAUGUGGGAGCAAAUUAAAAAGAUAGUACCACAAGAGGAAGAGACGGCUAACUCUGUGCCAGCAGCCGCGGUAAUACAGAGGUCUCAAGCGUUGUUCGGAAUCACUGGGCGUAAAGCGUGCGUAGGCUGUUUCGUAAGUCGUGUGUGAAAGGCGCGGGCUCAACCCGCGGACGGCACAUGAUACUGGGAGACUAGAGUAAUGGAGGGGGAAGCGGAAUUCUCGGUGUAGCAGUGAAAUGCGUAGAUAUCGCGAGGAACACUCGUGGCGAAGGCGGGUUGCUGGACAUUAACUGACGCUGAGGCACGAAGGCCAGGGGAGCGAAAGGGAUUAGAUACCCCAGUAGUC